UUAAGUAGACCGCCUGGGGAGUACGGCCGCAAGGUUAAAACUCAAAUGAAUUGACGGGGGCCCGCACAAGCGGUGGAGCAUGUGGUUUAAUUCGAUGCAACGCGAAGAACCUUACCUGGUCUUGACAUCCACAGAAGUUUGCAGAGAUGCGAAUGUGCCUUCGGGAACUGUGAGACAGGUGCUGCAUGGCUGUCGUCAGCUCGUGUUGUGAAAUGUUGGGUUAAGUCCCGCAACGAGCGCAACCCUUAUCCUUUGUUGCCAGCGAUUAGGUCGGGAACUCAAAGGAGACUGCCAGUGAUAAACUGGAGGAAGGUGGGGAUGACGUCAAGUCAUCAUGGCCCUUACGACCAGGGCUACACACGUGCUACAAUGGCGCAUACAAAGAGAAGCGACCUCGCGAGAGCAAGCGGACCUCAUAAAGUGCGUCGUAGUCCGGAUUGGAGUCUGCAACUCGACUCCAUGAAGUCGGAAUCGCUAGUAAUCGUGGAUCAGAAUGCCACGGUGAAUACGUUCCCGGGCCUUGUACACACCGCCCGUCACACCAUGGGAGUGGGUUGCAAAAGAAGUAGGUAGCUUAACCUUCGGGAGGGCGCUUACCACUUUGUGAUUCAUGACUGGGGUGAAGUCGUAACAAGGUAACCGUAGGGGAACCUGCGGUUGGAUCACCUCCUUACCUGAAAGAA
This 683-nucleotide ribosomal RNA is filed under the name Salmonella enterica subsp. diarizonae. Its description in RNAcentral is "bacterial SSU rRNA". It matches the Rfam family "Bacterial small subunit ribosomal RNA", at positions 860 to 1533 of the family's 1533-position model. RNAcentral also lists the same sequence under 1 other name. Lineage: Bacteria; Pseudomonadati; Pseudomonadota; Gammaproteobacteria; Enterobacterales; Enterobacteriaceae. The record is from RNAcentral.